Molecule: ribosomal RNA, 251 nt
Filed under: uncultured bacterium
Lineage: Bacteria
Description: partial 16S ribosomal RNA
Rfam family: Bacterial small subunit ribosomal RNA
Source: RNAcentral
CAGAGGUGCGAGCGUUAAUCGGAAUUACUGGGCGUAAGCGCGCGUAGGCGGCUUGUUAAGUCGGAUGUGAAAUCCCUGGGCUCAACCUAGGCAUUGCAUACGAUACUGGCAGGCUAGAGUAUGGGAGAGGAAGGUAGAAUUCCAGGUGUAGCGGUGAAAUGCGUAGAGAUCUGGAGGAAUACCGAUGGCGAAGGCAGCCUUCUGGCCUAAUACUGACGCUGAGGUGCGAAAGCAUGGGAGCAAACAGGAUU